AGAUGCUGAAGACUGAGGAGGCACAGAAUUCAAGUUCUCCUCCUCCUCUUUCUCUCCAGGACCAGGAAAAGGAGGUAGACGGUCAACACACAGAUGAGGCAGCUGAAAGCCCGACUCCAGCUGAGAGUGACGUAACAGUAGAGGGGACCGUGAUCUCACAAGAGGAACAUGGAAAUCCUCUUCCUGACAUGGAAGACCAGAUGGAGAAGGAAGAACAUGAAGCAGACCAUACAUGAUCAAGUCAGUGUUUGACAGCCCAUCAUCCACUAAUCCAGCUUCUACAUAUGUUUUAAAAAGUACAGUUUCAGUGCACUGGGUGUACAGUACAUGUACUGUAGCGCAGUGAAUGUACAAAUAUACAAGUGUUAUUUAAGAAAUAAACAUUAUUCAUUGAU
This is a long non-coding RNA of Monopterus albus (swamp eel), 395 nucleotides long. RefSeq lists it as uncharacterized. Lineage: Eukaryota; Metazoa; Chordata; Actinopteri; Synbranchiformes; Synbranchidae. The record is from RefSeq and is a predicted model, not a curated record. The transcript is spliced from 3 exons.